RNAcentral lists this long non-coding RNA (201 nucleotides) under Elaeis guineensis (African oil palm). RNAcentral describes it as "long non-coding RNA (EGUI_LNC047626)". Lineage: Eukaryota; Viridiplantae; Streptophyta; Magnoliopsida; Arecales; Arecaceae. The record is from RNAcentral.
AGUGCCAGUUCCUGAACUGGUUCUAGUUGCCUCAAUUACUACAUUUUUUGCCCGAGCAGUUAAUGGGGACGGACUGUAAAUUCGUUGACGAUAUGUCUACGUCGGGCAUCUACCAUUAUACCCAAAAUGAUUGGCCAUACAAUCGGCUUGAAAGCACCUCUCUUUUUGAAGUUGGUAGAUUGCUUUGAUACACCUCCGGAC